CUUAUUCGUAAUUUUUAUUUUAAACUUAUUUAGUUAAUUCCUUGACAUAUUUCCUUUGAGAACAAAAUGUUAAAUGAUGAUUGAGUAAUUUCUAUUCCCAGAAAACAUGUCAUGAGUCUCAAAUAUGAUAUUUCAAACAUGACUUGUAUUUUAUGUUUGAAAUUUGCAACAAAUCUUUCGUAACUCCUUGCAAUAAACAAAUAAUCUACAAUAAGUGUAACGACCUCGGAAGUCCAAAAGAAGAUAUAUAAUAAUUUAACUGCGGAAGUGAAAUAAAAGGUUAAAGUUUACAUCUCUUACACAAUAACUUAAAAGUACUAAACAAACAUUACAGAAUGAAUUCUUUGAAAGAAACACGAGAAAUAAGAAAAAUAAUGAAAA
This 381-nucleotide long non-coding RNA is filed under the name Carica papaya (papaya). Its description in RNAcentral is "long non-coding RNA (CPAP_LNC000248)". The record is from RNAcentral. Lineage: Eukaryota; Viridiplantae; Streptophyta; Magnoliopsida; Brassicales; Caricaceae.